RNAcentral lists this ribosomal RNA (272 nucleotides) under uncultured Staphylococcus sp. RNAcentral's name for it is "partial 16S ribosomal RNA". It matches the Rfam family "Bacterial small subunit ribosomal RNA", at positions 90 to 354 of the family's 1533-position model. Lineage: Bacteria; Bacillati; Bacillota; Bacilli; Caryophanales; Staphylococcaceae. The record is from RNAcentral.
CGUUAGCGGCGGACGGGUGAGUAACACGUGGGUAACCUACCUAUAAGACUGGGAUAACUUCGGGAAACCGGAGCUAAUACCGGAUAAUAUUUCGAACCGCAUGGUUCGAUAGUGAAAGAUGGUUUUGCUAUCACUUAUAGAUGGACCUGCGCCGUAUUAGCUAGUUGGUAAGGUAACGGCUUACCAAGGCGACGAUACGUAGCCGACCUGAGAGGGUGAUCGGCCACACUGGAACUGAGACACGGUCCAGACUCCUACGGGAGGCAGCAGGC